This 393-nucleotide ribosomal RNA is filed under the name uncultured bacterium. RNAcentral describes it as "partial 16S ribosomal RNA". It matches the Rfam family "Bacterial small subunit ribosomal RNA", at positions 523 to 918 of the family's 1533-position model. The record is from RNAcentral.
AUACGGAGGAUGCGAGCGUUAUCCGGAUUUAUUGGGUUUAAAGGGAGCGUAGGUGGGAUAUUAAGUCAGCUGUGAAAGUUUGGGGCUCAACCUUAAAAUUGCAGUUGAUACUGGUUUCCUUGAGUACGGUACAGGUGGGCGGAAUUCGUGGUGUAGCGGUGAAAUGCUUAGAUAUCACGAAGAACUCCGAUCGCGAAGGCAGCUCACCGGGCCGGAACUGACACUGAUGCUCGAAAGUGCGGGUAUCAAACUGGAUUAGAUACCCUGGUAGUCCGCACAGUAAACGAUGAAUACUCGCUGUUUGCGAUACACUGUAAGCGGCCAAGCGAAAGCGUUAAGUAUUCCACCUGGGGAGUACGCCGGCAACGGUGAAACUCAAAUGAAUUGACGGGG